RNAcentral lists this ribosomal RNA (253 nucleotides) under uncultured bacterium. RNAcentral's name for it is "partial 16S ribosomal RNA". It matches the Rfam family "Bacterial small subunit ribosomal RNA", at positions 524 to 776 of the family's 1533-position model. The record is from RNAcentral.
UACGUAGGGGGCGAGCGUUAUCCGGAAUUACUGGGCGUAAAGCGCACGCAGGCGGCUCGCCAAGUUUGGAGUGACAGUUGUCGGCUCAACCGACAAAGGACUUCAAAAACUGGUGAACUUGAGGAUGAGAGAGGAACAUGGAACUCCAGGUGUAGUAGUGAAAUGCGUAGAUAUCUGGAAGAACACCAAUGGCGAAGGCAAUGUUCUGGCUCGUUUCUGACGCUCAGGUGCGAAAGCCAGGGGAGCGAACGGG